CUUAUGGUAGUUUAUGAAAACAAUACUUUUUCAGAGUGUAGAUCCUCGAAGGUCAUCUUGUAGUAGAUUAUAAGU
RNAcentral lists this transfer RNA (75 nucleotides) under Eomenopon denticulatum. RNAcentral's name for it is "tRNA-Glu". The record is from RNAcentral. Lineage: Eukaryota; Metazoa; Arthropoda; Insecta; Psocodea; Menoponidae.